This 24-nucleotide non-coding RNA is filed under the name Cricetulus griseus (Chinese hamster). Lineage: Eukaryota; Metazoa; Chordata; Mammalia; Rodentia; Cricetidae. The record is from RNAcentral.
UCUCCACAGCACCUUUGUGAACUC